GCCUUCGUGGCGUAGUGGUCAGCACACUGAGCCUGUAUUUCAGAUGUCCGUGGUUCGAUUCCCGCCGAAGGCG
This 73-nucleotide transfer RNA is filed under the name Stegodyphus mimosarum. It matches the Rfam family "tRNA". From Rfam's summary of the family: Transfer RNA (tRNA) molecules are approximately 80 nucleotides in length. Lineage: Eukaryota; Metazoa; Arthropoda; Arachnida; Araneae; Eresidae. The record is from Rfam by way of RNAcentral.